This 576-nucleotide small RNA is filed under the name Pan troglodytes (chimpanzee). RNAcentral's name for it is "retained intron". The record is from RNAcentral. Lineage: Eukaryota; Metazoa; Chordata; Mammalia; Primates; Hominidae.
UUUCAGCGCUGAGGACUGGCGCUGAGGAGGCGGCGGUGGCUCCCGGGGCGUUUGAGCGGGCUCACCCGAGCCCGCGGGCCAACGCGGAUCCAGGCCCGACUGGCGGGACCGCCCCGGACUCCCCGCGGGCCUUCCUAGCCGCCAUGGAGGACGGCGUCUAUGAACCCCCAGACCUGACUCCGGAGGAGCGGAUGGAGCUGGAGAACAUCCGGCGGCGGAAGCAGGAGCUGCUGGUGGAGAUUCAGCGCCUGCGGGAGGAGCUCAGUGAAGCCAUGAGCGAGGUGGAGGGGCUGGAGGCCAAUGAGGGCAGUAAGACCUUGCAACGGAACCGGAAGAUGGCAAUGGGCAGGAAGAAGUUCAACAUGGACCCCAAGAAGGGGAUCCAGUUCUUGGUGGAGAAUGAACUGCUGCAGAACACACCCGAGGAGAUCGCCCGCUUCCUGUACAAGGGCGAGGGGCUGAACAAGACAGCCAUCGGGGACUACCUGGGGGAGAGGUACGGUCACCACUCAGCUCCUGUGGGGCCCCUCCCUCCCACCCCCCAGGCCCAGCUCCUGCCCUCACACUGGCAGCUCA